Vespa velutina is the source of this 1538-nucleotide long non-coding RNA. RefSeq lists it as uncharacterized. The transcript is spliced from 3 exons. NCBI's taxonomy places the organism in Eukaryota, Metazoa, Arthropoda, Insecta, Hymenoptera, Vespidae. The record is from RefSeq and is a predicted model, not a curated record.
CAACGAAUUGAAAAAUCAAAGAAAAUAUUUCGUUAAAUUGAAAUAAAUUCAAUUUUUUAUAAACUGUAAUGAUAGCAUUCAUCGUUAUAUGAUAACAUAACGAUACGUAUUCACGUUGGAAGGUUAGAUAAAAUCACGAAUUAUCGAUAUCUAAUUGAUAAAUAUUGUUAUCAUUGGAAUUAAAAUAAAUCAAUAUUCAUAUCAUUCUAUGAGAUAAUUCGAAGUAUUAUAUGUUUCUGUUAGAUUAUUUCGUAAAGAAGAUGAUGGAAUAUUUAACUUGACUAUAUUAUUCUGUCAAAUGUCUGUCAUCGUGUCGAACAGCUUUUACCAAAAGUAUUCUCUUCUUCUUUACUCUCUCUCUCUCUCUCUCUUUUCCCUUCACCUUCUGCUAACGAUCAUCGGGUAGAUAGAAGUAGUAUAUAUCGCUCUAACGUAGACAGGCUUUGAUUUACAGGCGCGAACAAGCGAAUCUCGACAGUAAGCGAAACGAAUAGUAAGAAGAGAACGUACUCUCUUUCUCUCUCUCUCUUUCUCUCUUACUGCCUUUCUCUUCUAUGCUAUAUAAAGUCGUUCACCCCGAUUCAGACAAUCUAGUGUCUGCGCGCGGCUGCCGGCUAACCCGGGAGUGAUCCGUGAUUGUAUUAAUAUCACAACACGCCCCACACGGGGUAUGCGGUAUUGGUCUCGCUAUUCUCAAGGUCAAAGGGAACGUCGCGUGAUACACCGAAAACGUAUAUAGAGCAUCCACUGGAGUCUCGCUAAUGGAACGGAUACCGAGAGAAAGAAUCAUGAGAGAGACGAGAACUAUUCGGAUUGGAAUAAAAAGGAAGGAUGUGUCGUCGAGAGUCUACGUUUCGGUUAACAGGAAAAAGAAAAAGAAAAAGAAGAAGAAGAAGAAGAAGAAGACGAACACGAACACGAACACGAACACGAAUACAAAUACGAAUACGACGACGAAGACAAAGACAAAGACAACGACAACGACAUCGUCAGCGUCGAAAAAUCGAAGGACGUCGCGGCUCGAUAAAAGCCCAAAGACCGUACGAAGGGUUAAUUAUAAUUCGCGAAGAGAGAAGUCGGGUAGCGCGAUACUUCUGUACGAUGUGCCGAGGGAGACGAAUGACUACGAGGAAUCAUAGCGAACGUACGUAUGCGACGAGCUAACAGCUGUCGAGCCCAGGGAAACACGUACCAGAAACACGCGGUAAGAAGAUGCAGGACUAUUAUUGGACUUGAUUUAUGGAUUUGUUUAGUCAGAAUUUCAUAGUUCCGCAGGAUUGCGCCAUGAACGGCGCCGUGUUACGGCCACGGUUGGAUUAUAAAAUCCCCUAUGGAGGAACUCUGUGUUUGCCGUUCCUCCGUUAAGAUAUAUGUAUACCGGAAAGAUUUAAUGUCUUUUGGGAGUGUCGAUAUCGUGUAUAAUGUCAAAAAGAAAAAGAAAAAAAAUAAAAAAGGGAGAAAAAAAAGGAAAAGGAAAAAGAAAGAAAAAAGAAAAGAAACGAAAACUACCAUCAAUUUCUUCUAAAUACUAUCUCAUA